Molecule: long non-coding RNA, 35580 nt
Filed under: Gossypium barbadense (sea-island cotton)
Lineage: Eukaryota; Viridiplantae; Streptophyta; Magnoliopsida; Malvales; Malvaceae
Description: long non-coding RNA (GBAR_LNC013257)
Source: RNAcentral
AAAAAUCAAUCUGAUUUAUUUCGUACCCCUCGCUCAAUGAGAAAAUGGGUCAGAUUCUAUAGGAUCAAACCUAUGGGACUUAGGGAAUGAUGGAAGGGAAUAAAAUAAAAAAAAAGAAAUCAAAAAAAGAGGGGAAAAAAAUAAUAAAAAUAAUAAAUAAGUAAAUAAAAAUGAAGUAGAAGAACCCAGAUUCCAAAUGAACAAAUUCAAACUUGAAAAGGAUCUUUCUGAUUCUCGAAGAAUGAGGGGCAAAGGGAUUGAUCGAGAAAGAUCUCUUGUUCUUAUUAUAAGAUCGUGUGAUUGGAUCCGCAGAUGUUUGGUAAAAAAAAUCUUCUCUUUUGAGAAUAAUCAAAAAUGGAAAGUGUUCAAUUGGAACAUGAAAACGUGACUGAAUUUGUCCUAGUUACUCUUCGGGCUCUGAUGGUCAAAAGUGUUUAUCAUUUUAAGUAUGAUCUAGAUUUGAGUCGCGCUAGUCACAUUGUUCGAGUUUACAUUUAAAAAAAAAUUAUGAAAUCAGAAAACUUAAAAUUCUUCAAAUUUGAAUUUUGGAUGUCACUCCCUUCGUCAAUCGCAGAUGCGCGUCAUAAACACAUUCUCAAAGGAGCGUGACCUUGUGAAAGCACUAAUUUGCUAAAAAUAUUAGCUAGCUAUCCGCGUCUAGAACACGAAUAUAAUACGUUGCUUCAUCCCACUGGUUGCAAGUAAGCCCUUUUUCGUAAUUUGGCUUGUGAAUUAGGCCUAUAAAUUAAGGGCAAUCGGGAACAGCAAUUCCCAUCUUAUAAUCAAAACCAAUCUAAUUUCAAAGCUUCAAGGUAAUUAUUCAUCUCUUUUCUCUUAUUGUUUUUAGUUUUUGUUUGCAUUUUUGUAGUUUUAAUUUUGAUUUUUUUAGUUUGUUCCAUGAGUGAGAUGAAUCUGUGAUUAGAGAUUUUUCCCCUUUUCAAGUUUUAUGGGUUUUUUCUAUUUAAAUCAACACCAUAUCGUGUAUAUCUUUUCGGUUUCAUUAUUCAUAGUCUCUAAAUUAGUAAUGAUUUUUUUUAUUUGUUGAAUUGUUUGCUGAAUCUUACGAACUAAGGUUAGGGAUUUUCCUCUUUUCAGUUUUAGGGUUUUCUUUUCAACCGUAGAUUUUUUUUAAUUUAAAUUAGAUUCUUUGAUCUGAUUGGAUUUUUUAGGCAUAAAAUUUAGAGUCUUGUCACUAUUAUUUUCAGAAGUGCGAAAUUGUUUUGAAUGUAUCAAAACAAUCAGAAUAGUUUUAGAUUACCUAGGAAUCUCGAUCUUCCCAGAUAUCAUUCAAUAGGAUUUUUUUUUUUGUGAAAUAGAUGAUAUGUGGGCCUGGUUGUAGAAAUAUUUUAUAUUUUAUUUGUUUUAGUUAGUAGUAGUCUUAUUUGAGUUUUGUUUUUAAUUCAAAUAGAUGCAAAUUUUCGUCAAGACCCUCACCGGCAAGACCAUCACCCUUGAGGUGGAAAGCUCCGACACCAUCGAUAAUGUCAAGGCCAAGAUCCAAGAUAAAGAAGGAAUCCCACCAGAUCAACAGAGGCUUAUCUUUGCUGGUAAGCAGCUAGAGGAUGGUCGUACACUUGCUGACUACAACAUUCAGAAGGAGUCCACCCUCCACUUGGUCCUUCGUUUGAGGGGUGGUAUGCAAAUCUUUGUUAAGACCCUCACCGGCAAGACUAUCACCCUCGAGGUGGAAAGCUCGGACACCAUUGAUAAUGUCAAGGCCAAGAUCCAAGACAAAGAAGGGAUCCCUCCAGACCAGCAGAGACUUAUCUUUGCCGGUAAGCAACUAGAAGAUGGCCGUACCCUGGCUGAUUACAACAUCCAAAAGGAGUCCACCCUCCAUUUGGUGCUCCGCCUUCGUGGAGGAAUGCAAAUCUUUGUUAAGACCUUGACCGGAAAGACAAUUACUUUGGAGGUUGAGAGUUCAGAUACCAUUGACAAUGUCAAGGCUAAGAUCCAGGACAAGGAGGGUAUUCCGCCAGACCAGCAGAGGUUGAUCUUUGCUGGUAAGCAAUUAGAAGAUGGUCGCACCCUGGCUGACUACAACAUCCAAAAGGAAUCCACCCUCCAUUUGGUGCUUCGUCUUCGUGGUGGUAUGCAAAUAUUUGUGAAGACUCUUACCGGAAAGACCAUUACUUUGGAGGUUGAGAGUUCAGAUACCAUUGACAAAGUCAAGGCUAAGAUCCAGGACAAGGAGGGUAUUCCCCCAGACCAACAGAGGUUGAUCUUUGCCGGUAAGCAACUUGAAGAUGGCCGCACUCUCGCUGAUUACAACAUCCAAAAGGAAUCCACCCUCCACUUGGUGCUUCGUCUUCGUGGUGGUAUGCAGAUUUUUGUGAAGACUCUUACCGGGAAAACCAUCACCUUGGAAGUUGAGAGCUCCGACACUAUUGACAAUGUCAAGGCCAAAAUCCAGGACAAGGAAGGUAUCCCUCCAGACCAACAGAGGUUGAUUUUCGCGGGUAAGCAGCUUGAGGAUGGCAGGACACUUGCAGACUACAACAUUCAAAAGGAGUCGACCCUCCAUUUGGUUCUUCGUCUUCGUGGUGGGAUGCAAAUUUUUGUGAAGACAUUGACAGGAAAGACCAUCACUUUGGAAGUUGAAAGCUCGGACACUAUUGAUAAUGUCAAGGCCAAGAUCCAAGAUAAGGAAGGAAUCCCCCCAGACCAGCAGAGGUUGAUCUUCGCAGGGAAGCAACUUGAAGAUGGAAGGACCUUGGCAGACUACAACAUCCAGAAGGAAUCGACUCUGCACCUUGUCCUCCGCCUUCGCGGUGGUUUCCGAAUGGUCUUUUGAAGAAGUGUCUUUUAUGAUGGGGUUCAACAUUAUGUUUCUAGUUUUAUGUUUGUCUAAUUAAGCCUGCUGUGAUGCAGUGGCUAAAUGCUACAAGUUAUAAUUUGUAUAAACCCUUUUUUAGUUCUCUGCUUAUGUUUAAGGUUUCAUGGCUGCCAGCACUUUGGUCAUUGAAAUAAUUUAUCAUAUAAAGUUUCUAAGCUAUCAUAUGCCCUCUCCCUUUCUAUUUUUAAAUUUUGGUUCCGUUCUGGUGCUUGUUUGAUUUGUUUCUUUUGAGCAUGAUAUCUUUUGAUAACCAUGAUUAUGAGUUUUGAUAUGGUUUAAUAAAUUUGAUGGGGUCAAGGGUUCAAAUAUAAAUUUGAUGUAGGUUAUUCUUUUUUAAACAUUAAUCUCUUAAAUGUAUAGAAUAUGAUUUUACAAUUGUUGCACAAAUGCUAAUGUAAAUAAAAAGUCGCAAUUCGUGAUAUCUAAAUUUCUAAAAUAUUUGCUUUUCAUUCUACAAAAAGCAAGCAGCAUUAUCGAAACAGACUGUGGUGACCUAAUCGUUCUCUCAGUGACCGGAAUAUCUCGAGCAAUCGAACUGGAUUUUCUUCAAUUUUGUUCAGAAUUGUUCAAUCUUGUAUUUGAUUUUUAUGUAUUUCAGGCAGAUACAUAUAUUAAUUAAUUUCAUUUUCAUAUUUUCUCAUGUCAGGAUUUUGCCCGUUGAAUCAUUGAAAACAUCGAUGGAUACACAGGUAGUACUCUCGAAGUAUACAAAUAAAAAACCUGUCAAUUCAUAUUCAGGAGUGCUCCUUAAAGCACAUAAUCGGGAAAUCCUCUCUCAAGCCAUAUAACAGGAAGCUCACAAAGAGCCUAUCUGGAAGCUUAUCCGAAUUAUAUAACAGGAAGCUCAUAAGAGCCAUAAUCAGGAAGUUCACAAAGAACUUUUAAUCAGGAAGCUUACGAAGAGCCUUUAAUCAAGAGCUCCGGAUAGCCAUAUAUCGGGAAGUACAAGCGAGUCAUAUCAGGACACUCAUAAAGAGCUGAGGUAUGUCCGCAUUAUAUGCAGGAUCCUUAUCGAUUAUAUAACAAAACGCUCACAAAGAGCUGCAAUAUAUCCGCAACACAUGCAGGAUUAAUACUGAUCAGGAUGCUCGCAGGAACCAUAUAAUAGGAAGCUCGAGAGGGCUUAUAACAGAUGCUCGUAAGAGCUAUGGUGUGUCCACAACAUAUGCAGGACCACAACCAAUACGGGAAAUCCUGUAUCCAUCGAAUUUCAUUUAUUCAAACGGGACUUAACGUUUAUCGGGUAUUAUCAGAUAUGUGACUGAUUUUCAUACAUAAGAUAUUUAUACAAUUCACACAUAUACAACAUUCAAUUCAAACAUAUUAAUAUACAUAAUUUAGUUACACAAACUUACCUCGAUCAUUAUUCGUGUUCGUAGGCUACUAAUCCAAUACUUUUUGUUUUCCUCGAUCCAACUUCUUAUUUGAUCUUUCCGGAUCUAUAUAAAUGAAUUUAACAUCAAUUAAACACAUUUCAUAUCCAAUUCAAUCCAAUUCACAUCUUAGGCAAAAGUACCAUUUUCCCCUAUACUUUUGAUUAAUUCCAAUUUCAUCCCUAGGCUCGGAAAAUAAAAUUCAUGCAAUUUAAUCAUUAUUCCAAGUCUAGCUGAUUUUUACAUGUAAAAUUUACAGCCCAUGUAUUUCAUAAAAUUCAUAAUUUUUCCAUGAAUUUUCCAUUUUUUCAAUUUAAUUCCUAAAUCAUGAUUUCAUUAAAAUUCCCUUUACAAAAGUUGUUUAUCUAUUAACAACCUUUCAUUUUUUACCAUAAAACUUUAUAAUUCAUCUAUGUUCAUCCAUGGCAAAACCCUAGUACCUUGAUAAUUUUGCAAAUUAAUCCCCGAGAUAGCUAGAUUAAGCUAUUAUGAUCUCGGAAAUAUAAAAAUCAUUAAAAACGGGCAAGAAUACUUACCUAAUCAAGCAAAAUAAGUUGGCUUGAGCUUAGGUUUCCAUGGCUAGGGUUUCCAUGCUUUUAAUUUGGGAAAGAUGAUAUAAAUGAUGAUAUUUUUAUUUAUUUUUUAUCAUUUAUUAUCUUUUAUUAUUUCACUUUCCAAUUUCAUCCUUUUCUUUAUUCUAUUUUUCAUAGAUGAAUCAUCAUCCUUAACAACCAAGCAUUUUUAAUGGUCUAUUUUUCAUAUAAGGACCUCAAAUUUUUAAUUUCAUAGCUAUUUAAUCCUUUUAGCUAUUAGAACUCAACUUUUGCACUUUGUGCAAUUUGGUCCUUUAUCAAAUUAAACAUGUAAUCGGUAAAAUUCAUUUACGAAAUUUUUAUACCACAUUACUAUCAUACUAUAGACCAUAAAAUAAUAUUAAAAAUAAAUUUUCUUUCGAAAUCGAAUUUGUGGUCCCGAAACUACUGUUUCGAUUUUACUGAAAACGGGCUGUUACAAGUUGAUUUCGAUGUGGCUCACCGUCCUUGAACGAGUGACUUAAAUCGCUUCAAUUACUAAGUGGCUCCAUUUUAUCUUUCGAUCUCAAUUUUACCGACUUAGACGAAUUAAUCUAAUUUAACUCUCGAUCUCACCGGUUAAUCCGAGACUAAUGAAUUUGUGCGUAACAAGAUUACCUCUCGGUCUCACUUGCCUAGAUAUUCCUUUGGGGGGGUCACUUCCUAAGAUUUUAGCUCUAUUCGAUUUAGUCCAAUUUAUUAUGAGUUAGUCUUUUGUCCAAAAAUUAGCUUACCCACAUAUCUAUCAACCAACCCCCUUUUAGGUUUAGCUACUCAUGCUGAAUGUAACAACCCAGUUUGACUCUAAUCGGAAUAGUGGUUUCGGGACUACAAAUCUGAAUUAGAAAAAUAUUUUUAUAUUAUUUUUUGUGUUUAUUAUGUGUGAAUUUACUAGUGUGAAACUUUCGUGCUUUAAUUUCGCCGUUUGAGUGUCCGAUUAAAUAAAAGGAUUAAAUCGCAUAAAAUGAAAAUUUAGGGGUUAAAUCUAAAAGCACCCAAUUGUUGUUGUCUUUCAAAAAUAGGGGUUUUAAAUGACAAUUAAGCCAUUUAGAUGAUAGUGGGUGGCAAUGGUCAACAUUGCCCUUAUAUUAUAUGUUUUAUAAUUUAUUUAUUUAAGGUUAAAUUUGUAAACUAAAAUUUAUGCUAAUAUAUUUUAAAUUAAAACAUAAAAAAAGGUCAUUUUUCAUCUUUCUUGGCCGAAUAUAGAAAAUAAAGAAUUCAUCCAUGCUUGUUAAAGUUUCGGCACAAAACUAGCUUGAUUAAAGGUAUGUUUUACUUCGGUUUUUGAUAAUUUUUACGUUUUUGAGAUCGUUGCUUUGUGUUCUUCAAAACCCAUAUCUUAAUUUUGUGAAUUGUGGAUGAUUUUGAAAUGUGCCAUUGAUGAAUGCUUGAGUUUUAUGAUGUUAGUCGGUGAAAUAUGAAAUAUAUUUGUUAGAUUAAUAUGUUUUGUAUUGGAAUUUUUAGUGAAAUUGAGUAAAUAGGGCUAAAUUGUAAAAUUAAAUUUUUGAGGGACUAAAGUGUGAAAUAAAUGCAACGUGUGGACUUGUAUGAGAACCAUGAAUAUUCGGCCCUUGUGUGGUAUGGGCAAAUUUUGUGUAAAUUGUGUUUUAUGCAAUAAGGAGUAAAUUGCAAAAAGUGUGAAUAUUAGGGGCAAAAUAGUAAUUUUCCAAAUUAUGUGUUUUUGGAUUAAAUUGAAUGUGUUAAUAAAUAAAUUAUCUUAUUUUGAAUAUAUUUAGAUCAAGAACCAAAGAAAUCAGAGUUAGAUCGGGGAAAAGCCAAAUUAGUCGAAUAAUCGUCCGACUUCGAUUUUCCAUCGUCCGAGGUAAGUCUAUUAGCAAUUAAAAGUUAUUAAAUUAAUAUUUAUACAUGUAUACUAAUUUUAUUAUGUGUUGAGCUAUAAUUAAAAGUAUAUUGAUUGAAUAAAUUUUGAAGUAUGGAUGAUAUUUAUAUAUAUAUAGCAUGUUCGAAUAUACAAGUAAAAUCUUGUAUAGAUUUAUGGUUGAAAUAAAGGUAAGAAAUGUAUAAAAGUAUAGUUGAUAUUCGAAUAAGCAUGUAUAUAUAUAUGUAAAUCGCUUGUAUUGAAUUUAGGUAAGAAAGAUAUAUAUGCAUAUGUUAGAUUCGAAUAUAUAUAUAUGUAAAUACAUGAACAAGUCUUGAAAUUAGAUAAAGGUAUGAGUAUGUAUAUAUAUAUAUAUAUUGCUAGAAUAUAUAUAUAUACAUAUAUAUAAAAGUUAUUGAAAUUAGUUAAAGUAUGAAUGUUGCAUAGAUAUUCAUUCUUGAUUUUAAUCAAAGGUAUGUAUAAUAUAUAUAUAGUGCGAAUAUAUAUAUAGGUAUAUACAUGUAUAAACUCUUGGAUUUAUUUAAAGUUAUGUAACCCAUGAUUGUAUGAGAAGUUUCGAAUAGAUAUGUAUAUGUGAAUUGUAAUUUAUAUGUAUAUGCUAUAUUUGAAAAAGUAUGCUUACAUAUAUGUAUAUGUUCUUGUAAUGAAUUUUAAGUAUGAGUGUUAUAUAUAUAUAUGCAUAUGUGUGAGGUUCGAAUAUAUAAUUAUGCAUAUAUAUAUUUGCGUACAGGUAUAAUUUCUUGUAUUGAAAUUAGGUAUGGAAUUAUAUAUUGAUAUAUAUAUGGUCGAAUGUAUAUGUAUAUAUGUUUAAGGUUUGCAUUGGAUUAAAAGUAUAAAUUGUAAAUGCUUGUAUGAUUCGAACAAGGAUUAUAAAUUUUCUUGGGAUAGAGUUGAGGAUGUGAAUUAUACAUAAAUGUUAUGAACGUGUGUUGCUAUUAAGAAAUAUACGAGAAAUCAUCCUUGUAUCUGUGAAAUUGAAAUUUUUAAGCUAAGCGCCUAGCAGGCUAAAUGCCGGUGAAUUUUUCAGACUAUAAAUCUAGCAGGCUAAGUGCCGGUGAUCGGAAUCAGGUUAUAAACCUAGCAGGCUACGUGCCGGUGAUAUGAAUUAGGCUAUAAGCCUAGCAGGCUAAGUGCCGGUGAAUAUGUUAAAUUAUGUGAUUAUAUGCAUUAGAUAGAUAUAUAAAUAUAACUGAUUUUGGGUUAUAUAUAUAAUGAAUAAGUAUAUGAAUAUUUAUUUAUAUGUAAUCGAUGAGCUUAUAAAUGUUUCAAUCUAUAAGUUUAGUGAAUAGGCAUAUAUACAUUGGUUGAUAUGAAAAUUGUUGAAUAUACUUGUACGAAAUCGGCACAUGUGGAUUAGAAGUAUAAAUGUGCAUAUGAUUCAUGUAGUUUAUAAGUGGAAAUAUAAGUUUUUGACAUAUGUUUUUGAAAGAUCAUAAACAAGCAUUGAGUGAAAUGCAAAUGAUAAGUAUAUUUGGAAUAUAUAUAUGCAAUUAAUGAUUAUGUAUGUAACUUGAUUUUUUUGGUAUAUAAUGAUUAUACAUAUGAUCGUUUAUAUGUAUUUUAGUUAUGCUAUAAACUUACUAAGCUAUAAAAGCUUACUUUGAUUGUUUUUGUUCAUUUGUUUUAUAGAUUUUGGAGACGCGUUAUGAGCUCGGGGAUCAUCAGCAUAGUCUAUCACACUAUCGACUUCUUUUGGUAUUUUGUUAACAGUUUGAACUUGAUCUUAUGGCAUGUAUAGGUUUGAGUAUGAUUUUGGUUAGAUUUGGAUUGUAUAUAUAUAGCAACGCGAAAAUGGUUUAAUUUCCAUGUUUGUGAUCAGUUUGGUUUUAAAAAUGGUUGUGUUUAUUCGGUAAUGCCUCGUAACCCUAAUUCGGCGACGGAUACGGGUUAAGGGUGUUACAUUUUAUUGGUAUCAGAGCUACGGUUUAGUCGAUUCUCGGACUAACGUAGUGUGUAUGAGUCUAGCUAUACAUGCCAUAAUUUUUUACUGAGAUAGUGUGAUGACUGCUGACGUAUAAAAAUGUGUUUUCGUAUAGUAAUGGAUCCCGAACGAGCCGUAGCCGAUGAUGCUGAGAGUAUAGCACCUGCUCCCGCGCAAGAGACAGAGCCAGUAGAUUCUCGACCGACCUUGAGUAACCAUGAGGGAGAGGCUAAACAAGCCUUUUACAAAAUGAUGAAUGACUGGUUAACUCAAUAUGUCCGAACAAAUUCGGUUGUACAAUGACCUCCACCCCCGACUAAUCCAUCUUCGGUUCCUGUUAUACCUCAAGUAAGUGAUCUGAUGAGAUUACUUAAACCUCCUGUUGAUAAAAUUUAAAAACACGGGGCCGAAGAGUUCAGAGCUACUGAUGAUGGUGAUGCUGAGUGAGCUGAAUUCUGGCUAGAUAAUACUAUUCGAGUAUUUGAUGAGUUAUCUUGCACCCCUGACGAGUGCUUGAAGUGUGCCAUAUCCUUGCUACGGGAUAUUGUAUAUCACUGGUGGAAUACACUAGUAUCGGUGGUUCCGAAAGAGCGAGUGACCUGGGAAUUCUUUCAGACUGAAUUCCGUAAGAAAUAUAUUAGCCAGAGAUUCAUUGAUCAGAAACGUAAGGAUUUUCUUGAAUUGAAACAAGGUCGGAUGACAGUGACAGAAUAUGAGCGGAAAUUUGUGAGACUUAGUAGAUAUGCUCGAGAGUGUGUUUCGACUGAAGCUAUUAUGUGUAAAAGAUUUGAAGAUGGGCUGAAUGAAGAUAUUAAACUGUUAGUUGGCAUACUUGAGAUAAAGGAGUUCGUAGUACUUGUUGAACGAGCUUGUAAAGCCGAGGAGCUCGGGAAAGAGAAGAGAAAAGCUGACUAUGAAGCUCGAGAUUCCUGUAAAAGAUCAUUUAGUAAAUCGUUCCAGUCGGCCUCAAGGAAAUCCAGAGAGGAUCAUAGCCAAUCUAAAGCUACUACAGGGUUUCCUAAGUAUGAUCGAGAUCGACCCCCUGUGAGUUCGCGUGCUACUUCAGUUGCUAGUGUUGGUAGUGUUCGACAAAAUAGAUCAGAAUGCAAGCAUUGUGGGAAAUGGCAUCCUGGAGAUUGCAGAUUACAUGAUCGAUCUUGCUUUAAGUGUGGUUCAAAGGAUCAUUUCAUUCGAGAGUGUCCGAUGGUAGCUGAUCAAAAUACUGUACAGAAUACCAGACCGAGUAAUAUGUCAGUAUGGGGUAGACCGCCAAGGCAUUUGGGUAAUGUAAGUGGUAGUCAGAGAGGGACAAAGGACACAGCAGUUCGAUCUGAGGCUCGUGCACCUGCCAGAGCAUAUGCUAUCCAAGCUUGAGAGGAGGCUUCUUCUCCAGAUGUUAUUACUGGUACUUUCACUCUUUAUGAUACUAAUGUCAUUGCGUUGAUUGAUCCUGGUUCGACUCAUUCUUAUGUGUGUGAGACCUUAGUAUUCAGUAAGACUCUACCUGUUGAGUCUACUGAGUUUGUAAUUAAAGUAUCAAACCCCCUGGGCCGGUGUGUGUUGAUUGACAAAGUGUGUAAGAAUUGUCCGUUGAUGAUUCGAGAUUUGUGUUUUAUGGCUGAUUUGAUGUUGUUGCCAUUUGACGAGUUUGACAUAAUUUUGGGUAUGGACUGGUUGACUUUACACGAUGCUGUGGUUAACUGCAAAAGGAAGACUAUUGAUUUAAGAUGCCUGAAUGACGAGAUUAUUCGGAUUGAAUCUAAUGAUCUGAAUGGUUUAUCGGCAGUGAUAUCCUCUAUGUUGGCUCAGAAGUAUGUGAGAAAAGGUUGUGAAGCUUAUCUUGCAUAUGUUCUUGAUAGUAAAGUGAUAGAAAAGAAGAUUGAAUCAGUACCUAUUGUAUGUGAGUAUCCAAAUGUGUUCCCUAAAGAAUUACCGGGUUUACCACCUAUUCGAGAAGUAGAGUUUGGUAUUGAGUUAGUACCGGGGACGACUCCAAUUUCGAUAGCUCCAUACCGUAUGGCACCGACCGAAUUAAAAGAAUUGAAAGCACAGUUGCAGGAGUUGACUGAUAAAGGUUUUGCACGACCGAGUUUCUCUCCUUGGGGGGCACCCGUUCUAUUUGUGAGAAAGAAAGAUGGAACGAUGAGAAUGUGCAUUGAUUAUCGACAACUCAAUAAGGUGACUAUAAAGAAUAAGUAUCCUUUACCACGGAUUGAUGAUUUGUUCGAUCAGUUGAAAGGGGCUACUGUGUUCUCGAAGAUAGAUUUGAGAUCAGGCUACUAUCAAUUAUGAGUUAAAGACUCUGAUGUGCCAAAGAUUGCUUUUCGAACGAGGUACGGACAUUAUGAGUUUCUUGUUAUGCCUUUUGGACUUACUAAUGCACCUGCUAUUUUCAUGGAUUUGAUGAAUCGGAUCUUUAGACAGUAUCUGGAUCGGUUUGUAGUAGUAUUUAUAGAUGACAUUUUGAUCUACUCUCGUGACGAAACUGAGCAUGCCGAACAUCUGGGACUUGUGUUACAAACUUUGCGAGAUAAAUAGUUGUAUGCAAAGUUUAGUAAAUGUGAGUUCUGGUUACGGAAAGUCGGUUUUCUAGGCCAUGUUGUAUCAGCAUCGGGUAUACGGGUUGAUCCGAGUAAAAUUUCAGCUAUACUUGAUUGGAAACCUCCGAAAAAUGUCUCAGAAGUUUGAAGCUUUCUAGGGCUCGCUGGUUAUUAUAGACUGUUCGUGAAAGGGUUCUCAAUGAUUGCGACCCCGAUGACAAAGUUAUUACGAAAAGACGUUAAGUUUGAGUGGUGAGAAAAGUGUCAAGAGAGCUUUAAUCAGUUGAAAGUUCUUUUGACCGAAGCUCCAGUCUUAGUUCAGCCAGAAUCGGGUAAAGAGUUUGUUAUCUAUAGUGAUGCAUCUUUAAAUGGUUUGGGCUGUGUUUUGAUGCAGGAAGGCAAAGUUGUAGCCUAUGCCUCGAGGCAGUUAAAGCCGCAUGAAAAGAACUAUCCAACGCACGAUCUGGAAUUAGCCGCUACUGUAUUUGCGUUGAAAAUAUGGCGCCACUAUCUGUUUGGUGAAAAAUGUCAUGUUUAUUCCGAUCACAAAAGCCUGAAGUAUUUGAUGACUCAGAAGGAUCUGAAUUUGAGACAGCGCCGAUGGUUAGAAUUGCUAAAAGGUUACGAGCUUGUUGACUAUCAUCCGGGAAAGGCUAAUGUUGUUGCUGAUGCCCUAAGUCGAAAAUCAAUGUUUGCUUUGCGUGCAAUGAACGCGCAUAUGACUAUGUCUGAUGAUGGUGCGAUAGUAGCUGAGUUGAAAGCAAAACCGUUAUUUGUUCAACAGAUUUGUGAAGCUCAGAAAGUCGAUAAUAAUUUAAUUGCAAAACGAGCUCAGUGUGACUUAAAUGUUGAUUCAGAGUUUCUAGUUGAUGCUGAGGAUUGUUUGAGAUUCAGAAACCGAUUAUGUGUUUCGAAAAAUUCAGAGUUAAUUCAAAUAAUUUUGAACGAAGCUCAUAAUGGUCGAUUUUCUGUUCAUCCGGGUAGCACGAAAAUGUAUAAUGAUCUGAAACAGCAUUAUUGGUGGCAUGGUAUGAAACGAGACAUUUCUAACUUUGUUUCGAAAUGUUUAAUAUGUCAACAAGUAAAACCCGAGCAUCAAGUACCAUCUGGAUUGCUUCAGCCGAUCAUGAUACCUGAAUGGAAAUAGGAUCGAGUUACGAUGGAUUUUGUAUCCGGUUUACCGUUGACACCGAGCAAGAAAGAUACAAUUUGGGUUAUUGUUGAUAGGUUGACAAAAUCGGCACACUUUAUUCCGAUUCGCACGGAUUUCCCACUCGAUAAACUUGCUGAAUUGUAUGUUUCUCAAAUUGUGAGAUUGCAUGGUGUGCCUAUUUCUAUUGUUUCAGACAGAGAUCCGAGAUUCACAUUGCGAUUUUGGAAGAAACUACAAGAUGCUUUAGGUACGAAACUACAUUUUAGCACAGCUUUCCAUCCGCAGACAGAUGGUCAAUCCGAACGAAUCAUUCAGAUACUUGAGGAUAUGUUGAAAUGUUGCAUUCUCGAGUUUGAAGGUACGUGGGAACGAUACUUACCUUUGAUUGAAUUUGCUUAUAAUAAUAGCUUUCAAUCUAGUAUCAAAAUGGCACCUUACGAGGCUUUAUACGGUCGUAAAUGUCGUACACCAUUGUAUUGGACCGAGCUCAGUGAAAAUAAGAUACACGGGGUUGAUUUGAUUAAAGAGACUGAACAGAAAGUAAAAGUGAUUCGAGAUAGUCUGAAAUCAGCAUCGGAUCGUCAGAAAUCUUAUGCGGAUUUGAAAAGAAAGGAUAUAGAAUUUCAGAUCGGAGAUAAAGUGUUUUUGAAAGUCUCACCGUGGAAAAAAAUAUUCAGAUUCGGUCGUAAAGGUAAAUUGAGUCUGAGAUUCAUUGGACCGUAUGAGAUUAUAGAGCGUGUUGGACCGGUUGCUUAUAGAUUGACGUUACCGCCUGAGUUAGAAAAGAUUCAUAAUGUAUUUCAUGUUUCGACGCUCCGUAGAUACUGAUCUGAUCCUUCACAUGUGAUUAGUCCGAUGGAGAUUGAAAUUAACUCUGAUAUGUCAUAUGAAGAAGAACCGAUUAGCAUUCUAGCUCAUGAGAUCAAAGAAUUACGAAAUAAGAAAAUUCCGUUAGUUAAAGUAUUGUGGCAUAAACAUGGAGUUGAAGAAGCAACUUGGGAGUCAGAAGAUACAAUGAAAGAGCGUUAUCCAAACCUAUUCACCGGUAAGAUUUUCGAGAACGAAAAUCCCUAAGGGGGGAGAGUUGUAACAACCCGGUUUGACUCUAAUCGGAAUAGUGGUUUUGGGACCACAAAUCUGAAUUAGAAAAAUAUUUUUAUAUUAUUUUCUGUGUUUAUUAUGUGUGAAUUUACUAGUGUGAAAAUUUUGUGCUUUAAUUUUGCCAUUUGAGUGUCCGAUUAAAUAAAAGGAUUAAAUCGCAUAAAAUGAAAAUUUAGGGGUUAAAUCUAAAAGCACCCAAUUGUUGUUGUCUUUCAAAAAUAGGGGUUUUAAAUGACAAUUAAGCCAUUUAGAUGAUAGUGGGUGGCAAUGGUCAACAUUGCCCUUAUAUUAUAUGUUUUAUAAUUUAUUUAUUUAAGGUUAAAUUUGUAAACUAAAAUUUAUGCUAAUAUAUUUUAAAUUAAAACAUAAAAAAAGGUCAUUUUUCAUCUUUCUUGGCCGAAUAUAGAAAAUAAAGAAUUCAUCCAUGCUUGUUAAAGUUUCGGCACAAAACUAGCUUGAUUAAAGGUAUGUUUUACUUCGGUUUUUGAUAAUUUUUACGUUUUUGAGAUCGUUGCUUUGUGUUCUUCAAAACCCAUAUCUUAAUUUUGUGAAUUUUGGAUGAUUUUGAAAUGUGCCAUUGAUGAAUGCUUGAGUUUUAUGAUGUUAGUCGGUGAAAUAUGAAAUAUAUUUGUUAGAUUAAUAUGUUUUGUAUUGGAAUUUUUAGUGAAAUUGAGUAAAUAGGGCUAAAUUGUAAAAUUAAAUUUUUAGGGGACUAAAGUGUGAAAUAAAUGCAACGUGUGGACUUGUAUGAGAACCAUGAAUAUUCGGCCCUUGUGUGGUAUGGGCAAAUUUUGUGUAAAUUGUGUUUUAUACAAUAAGGAGUAAAUUGCAAAAAGUGUGAAUAUUAGGGGCAAAAUAGUAAUUUUCCAAAUUAUGUGUUUUUGGAUUAAAUUGAAUGUGUUAAUAAAUAAAUUAUCUUAUUUUGAAUAUAUUUAGAUCAAGAACCAAAGAAAUCAGAGUUAGAUCGGGGAAAAGCCAAAUUAGUCGAAUAAUCGUCCGACUUCGAUUUUCCAUCGUCCGAGGUAAGUCUAUUAGCAAUUAAAAGUUAUUAAAUUAAUAUUUAUACAUGUAUACUAAUUUUAUUAUGUGUUGAGCUAUAAUUAAAAGUAUAUUGAUUGAAUAAAUUUUGAAGUAUGGAUGAUAUUUAUAUAUAUAUAGCAUGUUCGAAUAUACAAGUAAAAUCUUGUAUAGAUUUAUGGUUGAAAUAAAGGUAAGAAAUGUAUAAAAGUAUAGUUGAUAUUCGAAUAAGCAUGUAUAUAUAUAUGUAAUCGCUUGUAUUGAAUUUAGGUAAGAAAGAUAUAUAUGCAUAUGUUAGAUUCGAAUAUAUAUAUAUGUAAAUACAUGAACAAGUCUUGAAAUUAGAUAAAGGUAUGAGUAUGUAUAUAUAUAUGUAUAUAUUGCUAGAAUAUAUAUAUACAUAUAUAUAAAAGUUAUUGAAAUUAGUUAAAGUAUGAAUGUUGCAUAGGUAUAAAUUCUUGAUUUUAAUCAAAGGUAUGUAUAAUAUAUAUAUAGUGCGAAUAUAUAUAUAGGUAUAUACAUGUAUAAACUCUUGAAUUUAUUUAAAGUUAUGUAACCCAUGAUUGUAUGAGAAGUUUCGAAUAGAUAUGUAUAUGUGAAUUGUAAUUUAUAUGUAUAUGCUAUAUUUGAAAAAGUAUGCUUACAUAUAUGUAUAUGUUCUUGUAAUGAAUUUUAAGUAUGAGUGUUAUAUAUAUAUAUGCAUAUGUGUGAGGUUCGAAUAUAUAGUUAUGCAUAUAUAUAUUUGCGUACAGGUAUAAUUUCUUGUAUUGAAAUUAGUUAUGGAAUUAUAUAUUGAUAUAUAUAUGGUCGAAUGUAUAUGUAUAUAUAUGUUUAAGGUUUGCAUUGGAUUAAAAGUAUAAAUUGUAAAUGCUUGUAUGAUUCGAACAGGGAUUAUAAAUUUUCUUGGGAUAGAGUUGAGGAUGUGAAUUAUACAUAAAUGUUAUGAACGUGUGUUGCUAUUAAGAAAUAUACGAGAAAUCAUCCUUGUAUCUGUGAAAUUGAAAUUUUCAAGCUAAGCGCCUAGCAGGCUAAAUGCCGGUGAAUUUUUCAGACUAUAAAUCUAGCAGGCUAAGUGCCGGUGAUCGGAAUCAGGUUAUAAACCUAGCAGGCUACGUGCCGGUGAUAUGAAUCAGGCUAUAAGCCUAGCAGGCUAAGUGCCGGUGAAUAUGUUAAAUUAUGUGAUUAUAUGCAUUAGAUAGAUAUAUAAAUAUAACUGAUUUUGGGUUAUAUAUAUAAUGAAUUAGUAUAUGAAUAUUUAUUUAUAUUUAUUCGAUGAGCUUAUAAAUGUUUCAAUCUAUAAGUUUAGUGAAUAGGCAUAUAUACAUUGGUUGAUAUGAAAAUUGUUGAAUAUACUUGUACGGAAUCGGCACAUAUGGAUUAGAAGUAUAAAUGUGCAUAUGAUUCAUGUAGUUUAUAAGUGGAAAUAUAAGUUUUUGACAUAUGUUUUUGAAAGAUCAUAAACAAGCAUUCAAUGAAAUGCAAAUGAUAAGUAUAUUUGGAAUAUAUAUAUGCAAUUAAUGAUUAUGUAUGUAACUUGAUUUUUUAGGUAUAUAAUGAUUAUACAUAUGAUCGUUUAUAUGUAUUUUGGUUAUGCUAUAAACUUACUAAGCUAUAAAAGCUUACUUUGAUUGUUUUUGUUCAUUUGUUUUAUAGAUUUUGGAGACGCGUUACGAGCUCGGGGAUCAUCAGCAUAGUCUAUCACACUAUCGACUUCUUUUGGUAUUUUGUUAACAGUUUGAACUUGAUCUUAUGGCAUGUAUAGGUUUAAGUAUGAUUUUGGUUAGAUUUGGAUUGUAUAUAUAUAUAGCAAUGCGAAAAUGGUUUAAUUUCCAUGUUUGUGAUCAGUUUAGUUUUAAAAAUGGUUGUGUUUGUUCGGUAAUGCCUCGUAACCCUAAUUCGGCGACGGAUACGGGUUAGGGGUGUUACACUGAAAGUAAAGAGAAUGAACAUGGAAAUGAAGAGUAAAGAAGCCAUUAAAGUAAAGCUUAAUAAAAAUAUGAAAGUUUAGGUUUUUAUGUAAUAAAAUUUAAAGAACAUGAAACUAAAGCCAUUCAAUAAGAAAAUCUAAAGCAAUAAGUAUAAAAUGAACAAACUUCAGUUGAUUGAAAGUAAAAGAAACUGAAAUACAUUAAAAAAAUUAGAAAUGUCUUACAACCAAGGUACAUUGACUGAAAGUAAAUCAAGAAUAAGAAGUAAAUGUAGAAAAAUAAACCCUAAAACUAAAAAGGAAGAAGAGAAAAUGAAAACCCAAAAAACGUUACAGAAAAACAAGAGAAAAUUAGAGAAAACUAAAGCUAAAACUAAACUAAUGUGUGUCUUCCUCCUCCUCAGCCAAAUUUGGUUGUCUAAACUAAUGUGUGUCUUCCUCAUCCUCAGCCAAAUUUGGUUGUUUUAGGCUGAAUUCUGAUGAAUUUUCAUAGCCAAAAUUACCCUUACAUGGGCCUUGAGUGAUUGGUGGAUUGGGUGGACAAAAACUACCUUUUUGUCCAAUUUUGUCCCCCUCAUGAUGUCGGUGUCGUGAUACCCAAACGAGGAUAUUACGACACCUUAGGCAAUUUUGAGCCUUGAGGUCUUCUUUGAAGGAUGGAUAUCGCGAUACCCAAAAUGGAUAUCACGAUACCACUGAAGGGUGGUCUCCAAUAUUUUAUACUAUUGGAGGUAUUAAAAUUUCAAUGUGUAAAUAUCGUGAUACCCUUUCCUUUGGUGUCAUUUUCGCUCGUUUUCAUCCUCCAACACGUCUCUACACCAUUCAACCAAAUGUUAUCCCCCCUAAUUGCACUAUUGGCCAAAUUGGAUCACAAAAUGAGUAAAAAUGAGACAUUUUUACUUAUUAACUUAAACUCUAAAAAUUACAAAAAACUAUGCAAAAGACACUACUUUGGUUAAGAAUAAGCUCCUUAAGUAUACCAAGAAAGCUUAAUUUUCCAUAUCAAAUUAUGGCAGAUCAAUAUGGUACACUAGUUUGCUCGAACAUUGUGCGAAAUGGGUUUUGUAACGUGAUUGGUUAAGAGUCAACUGAAAAGAUUGACUGGUCAAACAACAUAUGUAUCGAAUUCUGUUUUAUAUUUCUCUUGAUUCUUAUAAAGCAUGAAAAGGAUAAUUUAUGUAUACAUUUAACAGUUAUCAAGAUCCACUAAAAGGAACUGAGUAUAUAUAUAUGGUACGAAGGGAACAUUUAGAUAGUUUUUCUUCCUUUUGUUUCACACUUUGGUUUUUCUUCCUAAACCUAAAUAUUCUUUUCUUUUUUGUUAAACUGGAAGUUAAGGUUUUUGGGGUAAUCGGUGGAUGUUUCAACCUCCUGGUAAGUUUGAUAGCUCUGCAUGUUAUGAUUUCAAAAUAGCAAAGGUGUUAAAAGACAUAAAUACAAUAGUGAGUGAAAAGAAGACCUUGCAUGAGGGUUGUAUGCAAUUGAUAUACUGGUCAACUGUCUGUACAUGGCGUUUUAAUGGUAAUCCCAUGUUCUUUUAAGUAGUUGUUUCUGUUAGUUUGGGAAAGACGAUCUAAUUUAGAACUCCGAUCUACAAUAAAGGUGAGUUUCAAGUGAACCUUUAACCUGAAUCAUAGAUGUUAAAUUUACAAUGGUUAUUUGUAAGUUAGUAUAUUAUCAAAAAACUGAUUAAUACAUGUGUUUGUGAAGUAUUGUAAAGGUUCCGCAUGUUUACAAAUGAGACAUAUGAGUUGUUGCAUAAAUAAGAUGAUGUGUGGUAUGCACGCAUGUGAAAUCAGGUAUGGAAGAGUAUGAAUUUUUCAAGAGUGUGUGAAUGAUUCUAGGUAAGUGUGUUCUAUGUUAAAUGAGUAAAACAACUAUUUGUGUUGCUUCUGGUAGGCCAGGUACAUUGCUAAAUGGACUGACAGAUCACAAUAUGCAUAUAUGUGUAAUACCAUGUGGUAGAGACCCAUGACAUCAUAUGAGAAUGAAAAUACUUAUUGUAACACCCUAUACCCGGUUCAGUUGCUUGACUCGAGCUACAAGGUAUUACAACUAUAAAACUUUGACAUCAUUCACAAUUUAAUAAAAAAACCUAAUAAUUCAUUUGUAGUAAUUUUCCAUGUUAUUCAAUCAAAACAAGACUUAAUUCGAUCAUAUAAAGCAUUUAAAACAUAUCGAGAACAAUUUUGGAUUAAAAUAAAACUUUUACAAAAAAAUUGAGUAAAAAGUGUAAACAGGGGUCAUACGACCGUGCGACAAAGCUCAGCCUGUGUGGCUCAAGAACAUGGCUGUGUGGCCAAAUCGUGUAACAAACUAUGCCCAUGUAACUCAGGGUUACACGGCCGUAUAACUCUUUGAGGUCGUAUGAACAAUCUUGUACCCAAAAUCAAGAGACUAUACGGUCGUGUCCUACGACUGUGUGGGGCACACAGUCGUGUGGCAGAUCAUGUCACAAGCCGUGUGUACCCAAAAAUACCUUUAAACUCAAGCCAUUUUAGCUAUAAUUUCUUAGAUACCAAGCCAUGCAAUUGCUAUCACAUAAACCUAUUCAAAAUGUACCAAAACAUGCCAAAAUAGACCAAUUCACAUUUAACCUAUGUGGCUAACCAAUAUGCCACAAUUGACACCACAAUUCAAACAUGAAACAUCAAUCAUUCGUUCCAUUCAAGUCAAUAAUUCCAACAUCAACAAUUACCAGCAUUCAUAACCAAAAUAAGCUAUUACCUAGACACAUAUAAAGUCAUUCAAAACUUGACCAACAUCAUCUCAUUACCAUGUAUCAAAUAGGUACUAAACAUUUAAUACAUCAAAGUUUCAUAUAAUCUCAUUCACAACCAAAAUACCAAAACAUGAUCAUUAACAUAACAUCCUAUAUACAUGCCACAAGUAACCAACUAUUGAACUUUUAAAUCUACCAAAUUUAGUGACAGUAGAUGUGAGCUUCUCGCUAAUCCGAUCGACACGUACCGAACGUCCAAAACCUAUAAAAAAAAGUAGUAACAUGAGUGAGUAUAUAAAAUACUUAGUAAGCUCAUACAAUAUAAACAUUCACUUACCUCAAAUUCUUAUCAUAAAUAAAUUCAAUAUGAGAUACAAAUAAACCUAUCAAAAUUCAACCUAUACAAAUAAGCCGACCAACUCAAAUUCAAGAGCCCUCCGACGAACUCAAACUCAAAGGUCUUUGGACCCACUCUAACUCAAGAGACCUCUGACCAACUCAAAUAGAAGGAUAAUGCGCAUCAGUGCACUCGAACCCACGUCUUCCUGCAUUGGCAACAAUGUCCAUACCAAUCGAGUUAAGACUCAAUUGACUCAAUCUCGCUAGGCCUUACAAGCCCAUUUUGAUUACAAUGACCCAUUAGACAACAUAAAUGUAGCUUGCAACCACUCCAAUGCUACUUAGGCACAGUUUUGCACUACUUAGGUGCCCUCAAACCGAUUGCCUCAAUAGGACACUACACUUGCUCCAACGAUCCUCAAGUGUACUCUAGCUCGUUGCUUGUGGAGCCUUUAUUGGUUCCAACAGCGGAAAACGGAAACGAUUCUCAUGUUUAAACAGUAGUAUAAUUUGCUUCUAAAUUGUUGGAAAUAUACUACUACAAAACAAAAUUGUUAACGCUAACAGGAAACCAAACUAAGUGUAAAUAAAAUAGCAAUGACUGUGUCGUGGAAGAACCACUUCCUUAGAAGCAAAUUCGCCCUGGUCAGUAUAAUCAUGUAGUGGACGUUGUUGCCCAAGGUUAACACAAUACUUCAAUAUUCGUACACCCGAAUAAAGAAGGUGGAACACAAUUGGCAUUACUUUUCUAGAACGGAAUGAAAAUCGAAAAACAAAAGCAGUUGAUCGAAAAAUAAACUAGAAGAAACUAGCGAAACCACACUAGAUUCAAUUCCUAGGAAAGAUUGGAGGGGUCACAGAAGGAUAAGAGAAGUUGUUUUUCUCUCUAUUUUUCUCUUUUUGUGUUCUGUCUAAAAUGAGGAGAAUGACAUCCUAUUUAUACAAUUUUUUGAAGGGCAAAGUAGUAAAAUAUGUACGGGCAAAAAGGUAAAAUUGGUAGAAAUAAUUUCCUAAAAGUUUGCAGUAGUUAAAUAAAAAUAUUUUAUGCAAUAGAUUUUCAAAUACAUAAGUUUUGCCCAAAAAUAAUCACGUGUGGUAUGUGUCAUAGACACGUGUUAACACGAACUAAGCGACAACGCACAUGUGCUAAACCUUUAACUCUAUUACUCAAUAAAGGAAAGAGGCAAAUUUAUAUAUAAACCCUCUUAGAAGCUUAUGCCUAACCAACCUGGAAUUGUCUUUUGCAUUUCCAGCAAUUGGUUGGUUUUGUUUGCCGGUAGCCUUUGUCCCAGUGAGUUAGUUUCGUCCGCGAUAUGGCUUGAGUCCUGCUUUAUUAUCUUUCAGGUGGUGAAAGCCUGAAGCAAGUGUAAUUUAUUUUAUUCUUGUGUGACUUGUGUAUACGCGAUCUUUAAUUAUAAUUUCUAAUGAACUUUUUAUUGUUGUUGAGAUCUUUUAUAUCCCUUUCUUUCUUUUGAUGUUACAAUAAAUGCAAAUUUCUUUUGAAAAAAAAUAUUCUAAAAUACUUAAAUAAAUCUAAACACGAGUAAAAAAACCCUAAAUAUAUAUUAUAUAAUAUCAUAUCAUAUCUAAAAUACGUAAAAUUUGAUUAAUAUCAAUCCGUGUAAUAAAUAAGUUAAAUAAAUGGAUUUAAAGUUAAAAAAGUGGAUGAUUAUGAUUCACUGUUCAAAUUAUGAAAUAAUUUAAAGAUCGUUAUAAAUAAAAUAAAAUAUAGAAAUUUGUGUAAGAUGAACCACAAAUUCAUAAAAAUUAUAAAUAAUCAUUUUGCUCUUAAAAUAAUCAUUAUAAAUAAUCAUUUUACUCUUAAAAAUUAUCCUUCUCCUAUAAUUCAUAAAAGAACCACAAAACUACUCUAAUUUUGAAAAUAAUUCUAGAAGGUCCUAGUACUUUUUGGGGGCAAAGAAAAGCCAUAAACGGCAGCGUCGUCUUAAAGGCAAAUAUCUACCUUUCUUAAAUCUCUGGGUCAAAGGAAAGACCAAUCUUAGCGUGUAAUCCAAGGUGAUCCAAAACUCUACAUGACACGUGGCUUCCUCUUUUCCGUACUUUUCCUUAUAAAUCUACGUUUUUCCUCCUAAUUUCGCAUCAAAUUUCCAAUCGUCUUUUCUUUUAAUAUUUGUUCAAAGCUUUCGAUUACAAAUCCCUCGCGAAAGGUAAUCUUUGGUUUUCAUCUUCUUUUCCUUCUCUCGAUUCUUGAUUUUCUUUUUAAUUGUUGUCGUUGAACUUUUUUGGGUAUAUUUUUGUUCGAUUUAUUUAGGGUUUUUAUCUUGUUGAUUUCUUCAAUUCGAUCGGUUUUGAGAUAAAUAUUAGCAUCUGUUUGUAUAAUUAUCUCUUAUUUUUUCGAAUUCAAGAUCAUAAAUCCUCGGUUGUUUUGGCUGUAUAAUUUAUUGUUAAUAUUAGGGUUUCAUCGUUUAUUGCUGAUCUAGUUUCUGGAUCUAAUUAUAAUUGAUUUUUAUUUCUUUCUUAUGACUGUUGUUUUCUUAUGUUAUCAAUCCGUUGAUUUUGUGUGAUUUAUUGGUGAGUCUAAGUUGGGUGGUCGGCCCAAAUUGGAUGUUAUUGUUCAUGUUAUUCGAUUGGUAGAUUGUAUGAAAUAAAUAUUGUUGAUUUCGGUUUUUAAUUGCUUGAUGUAUUAUUCAUAAUUUGUGGUGUAAGGUGUUAUUUCAACUUUAUAUGUAGGUAUAAUCUAUCCCGAAUUUGAUCUUGGUUGCUUCUACUCUACUUUUUGUUAUUUGCUCUUCAAAAAAUGUUAUAAUUUGGUUCAUGCGAAGUAAUUCUGUGUUUCAUGUCGACACAACAGAUGCAGAUCUUUGUGAAAACUCUUACUGGUAAGACCAUCACCCUCGAGGUGGAAAGCUCCGACACAAUUGAUAAUGUCAAGGCCAAGAUCCAAGACAAGGAAGGGAUCCCCCCUGACCAACAGAGGCUUAUCUUCGCCGGGAAACAGCUUGAGGAUGGCCGUACCCUUGCUGACUACAACAUCCAAAAGGAGUCCACCCUCCACCUUGUCCUUCGUCUCAGGGGUGGCAUGCAGAUCUUCGUAAAAACCCUUACUGGCAAGACAAUCACCCUUGAGGUUGAAAGCUCUGACACAAUUGAUAAUGUCAAGGCUAAGAUCCAGGAUAAAGAAGGGAUCCCUCCUGACCAACAGAGGCUUAUCUUUGCCGGUAAGCAACUGGAAGAUGGUCGCACCCUUGCUGACUACAACAUUCAAAAAGAGUCUACCCUCCACCUUGUGCUUCGUCUCAGGGGUGGCAUGCAAAUAUUUGUCAAAACCCUUACUGGCAAGACAAUCACCCUUGAAGUAGAAAGCUCCGACACAAUUGAUAAUGUCAAGGCCAAGAUCCAAGACAAAGAAGGUAUCCCUCCUGACCAACAGAGGCUUAUCUUUGCUGGUAAACAACUGGAGGAUGGCCGCACCCUUGCUGACUACAACAUCCAGAAAGAGUCUACCCUCCACCUUGUCCUUCGUCUUAGGGGUGGCAUGCAGAUCUUUGUAAAAACGCUCACUGGAAAAACCAUCACUUUAGAGGUGGAGAGUUCUGAUACAAUUGAUAACGUUAAGGCCAAGAUUCAGGACAAGGAGGGCAUCCCACCUGACCAGCAGAGGUUAAUUUUUGCUGGGAAACAGCUUGAAGAUGGCAGAACCCUUGCAGACUAUAACAUUCAAAAGGAGUCUACCCUCCAUUUGGUGUUGCGUCUUCGUGGUGGUAUGCAAAUUUUUGUGAAGACCCUCACAGGAAAGACUAUUACCUUGGAAGUUGAGAGUUCUGAUACGAUUGACAAUGUAAAAGCAAAGAUUCAGGACAAGGAGGGAAUUCCCCCGGAUCAGCAGAGGUUGAUCUUUGCUGGGAAGCAGUUGGAGGACGGUCGAACUCUAGCUGACUACAAUAUCCAGAAGGAGUCUACUCUGCAUCUUGUCCUUCGCCUCCGUGGUGGUUUCUGAUUUGGGUCCUGUUAACCAUUCUGCCUUUGGUGUUGUCUGGUUUUCUUUUUAUUUCAUGAUGUUUAGCCAUUAAAGUGGCAAAACCUUCUAUUAGUUGAAGGUCCUUGUGUUUUUUAUUUUUAAGGUAAUGAUAUUAGUUGAAGAUCCUUGUGUUUUUUAUUUUUAAGGUAAUGAUACUUUGGUGUGAAGUGGUUAGAGAGCCACAACUCAGUUACUAUAUUAAAUAAGGUUCGGACUAUUUCUUAAUCUCCUAUCCUUAAACAUUCAUUUCGCAUGUUGCUCUGUCAUAUGUUCUGCGAGCAUGUGCAUUGUUGAGUGGUGAAUGGUAUUUAGCCUUUUGUUUUACGCCAUAAUCUAUUACUGAGAAUAGAUGGAGCUUUUCUUUAUAAAAGAUUAAAGUCACUGUAUCAGUAUCUAGCCAAUUUUGGAGCUGUGAGAUAUGCGGUAGGGUGAUUGAGUAGAGGAAUUCAAUGGUAAAACGGAAUCCAUGUAGGGCAGACGUUAGCUUUCAUAAAUAAAUCACUGCAGCAAAACCAACAAUAUUAAUUUCUUCCCUUUUUCCCAAGAAACUAACCACAACUAAAUAACUUCUCAAUAACUAGCUGUAUUUUUUCCUAAAGAUGAACUAUAGCCACUGGAAAUUAAGGUUCUCAACUUCAAAACUUUUGAAUCGAGUAUCCAUUCAUGUAUAAAUGAGAUAACCUAAAGGUGAACCAGUUAAUGGGUGAUUAAACAGUAUUUACACUAAUCUAAAUCCCUUAAAUUUUUAGUUGGAUCUCAUUGUUACUCCGAGUAAAAGAUUUUGCAAAACUACUUCGGUUUUUCUCUGAACUGACACAAUCGAAGACGAGGCUGAAGAUGGUGGUGUGUUGCCGUUUCCAUCAUUCUUAUUUACUUGAGGGCUGGAGUGGUCAGCACCAGCUCCUGUUGACUCUGGAUCUGCUUUGGGCAAAUAUGUUUCAUCAGAAUGUAACUUCCAAGGUUCACUGGAUUUCAGAAUCCACGACACUCCUCUAGAGAACUCUGGUAUGCUCGUGGUGUCGGUUUAAAAAGUCUUCAAGUGUCGCAAGAGAUUUCAGUUGCUGCCCUAAAGAACUGAUGAAGAAGAAUGGAGGGUUUGAUUUAGGGAUUUUGAUUUGAGAGGUUUGAAUUUGAUAAUUGAUUUUGGGAUGUAUUUGAUUGGACUCAAACUCGAUUAAAAUAAUUCAAGCACUGCCUUGCUUCAAUUGAAAGUUGCCACCUUAUUUUCUUUGAUCAAUUAUCAUUAGAAAUUAUGCUGUCUUGCUUCUUGAAUGAGUUUUUCUUUUGCCAAGGUUUUAUUUAACUCCACACUUGGAUCUAAACAUUGUAAGUGGCAUGUUCUCACCCCGCAACUCUCUUUCUGUUACCUCGUUCUAUCUGCCUUAUAAUCAUGGCUGUAGGAAUCUAAUUUUAAGACCUAAAGCUUUGUGAAAAAUUAAUAACAAUUUGACACCCAAUUUCAUACACUUUACAUCUUCCUACAUUUGAAUACGAAAUUGUUAACAUCCAUUAAUUUAUCAGGUUCAUGUUCUUGGAAUUUCAGUUAUACAAUCCCAAGCCGGUUACUGUUCCUAAUUAAAUUAAGAGAUUUAAAACUUUUAACAAACUGCACACGAUUAUGUGCUUUUUAUUGUGAUGAAGAGAGCGAGUACAGCUAAAACACCAGAGUAACUAAGGGAGACAUUACAUUUAUUCUUGAGAACAUAUUUUGUUUAAAUCAAACUGCGAGAUGGCGUGUCACACCUCCCAGGCUCCAUCUCACAUUCGGACAUUAUUUUCUUGGUAACCUUUUGCAUGAUCUCUCGCAUCUGUUUGCUCCCCAUUUGUUCUUGCAUCUGUUGCAUCUGUUGCAUCGUUGCAUGUCUUAGACCUUGACAUCUGCAUUGCGUAUCCAUCUUCUCUAGCUGCUGGCAACAUGAGUCAAUGUACCCGCCGGCUAUAUUGUCGCUGCCUUCGCCACCCCACUCUUCCUCCAUGUACUUCUGGCAGUGCUUCAGGUGGGCUUGCUUCCUUAUCUGCUGUUCACAGCUAUCCCGGUUUUCCUCGCUUUCGACCGUCACAGAUGUGAUUGAAGCAUUGGCAAGGAACAAAAUGAGAGCCAGGGUGGCUAAGUAAACUGCGAGCUUUGCCAUUGUUGAUUUAUGCUGGUAUGGAGAAAAUAAUCAGAUGAGAAGGGUGAGCAAUGGGGUGGAGGAGUGAUGGUAAUUUAUAGGAGAGUUGAACCUUUGCAUGGGGAAUACGUGUGAUGUUGAAACUUGAAACCUAACACGUAGGUUAAUUUCUGCAUGCAAGAAUGGACACAUUUGUUUGUUUGGUUAUGAAACUGCCUUAACUGGGAUCGAUAGUAUUCAGGUUCUCUGUGUAAUUUUAAGAUCUCCUGGGGAUAAAAUGGUUUCACUUUGCAUUGGUGAUCCAAUUUGGAUUCAACCCUCAAACACUUAACGCAAUUUGGAUAUUUUUCAAGCCCAUGUAUAUGUUCAAAAUUUUAAAAAUAUAUAAUAAAAAAUGUUUGCGGUGCUUGGAAAACCUCCUUAAGUUGAUCGUUACGCUCAGAGACUUCAUUAGGUCAACUUCAAAGAUGACCUCACCAACAUCUCACUUCACCGAACAGUGCAUGGCUAUGAAAUAUACAAACCACCUUUUAUGACUUAAAAAAGAGGGUAUUUUUUAAUUUUCCGCCAAUUGUAGUGGUACUUUGGAUACAUUUUAACAUUUAAUCAGCUUACUUUUUAGGUAUUUUAUAAUUAAUUAUUGUAUUUUUAGUAAUAGUAAUUUAGGAUUUAAUUAUCAGUAAAAUAAGCGUUUUUAUGCAUUUUUUGAUGUCUCGAUGACCCAUAAAGGUUAACUUGGGCCUCGAGAGUGAUUAAUAGCUAAUUAAGUGUGUAGGAUGCCAAUUUAGGCCAAGAGUCUUGUUGGGGAUCAACCCGAUUAAGCAACAAACAAAUAAAAAUAGCAGAAGAAAUUGAGGAAUUGAACACACAAAAUUAACGUGGAAAAAUCUCUUCAAAGAGGAUAAAAAACUACCGGCAAAGAUAAAACUUGGGCCCGAUCCGACCCGCCCGUAUUAAUUUUUUAUAUUAAUUUUAUAUAAUUUUUAAAUAUAUAUAAUACAUCAAAAUUACUAAAGAUAUCAAAAUAAAUAUUUUCCAACAAAUUGAAAAUAAAUUUUAAAAAAUAUGUAUUAACACUAGAUGCAACUUAACAAGCAAAUGCCUCUAAAAUAAUAACAAAAUUAACAAAUGUCUCUAAAAUAAUAACAAAAUUAUCAAUAAAACAAGUUUUAUACAAUAUCCAAAUAAUAACAACAAAAUAGUAGCAAUAUAAUAGUAAAGUAGUAGCAAAAUAGGGAGAAAACAAAAAAAAAUAGUAUAUAUUAAAAAACAAAAAAAAUUUAUUUUUUUGUCCUUUAGGGAAUUUGGGCCGAACCAGGCCCAAGCUAAAAAUGUCUUACCUAAGGUAAGACCAUUUUUUUAUGGGCCUUAUUUUUUGUCCAAACCCAUUUUUCGGGGUUAUAUUUUUGCCCAAAUCCUCCCACAUUUCGAGCAAGCCGGGUGGCCCGACCGAUGAAGAAGUCUAUCUUCAAUUUCAAUCUUAACCUCAACAUUAUUUAAAUCAUUCAAAAGAGUAAUAAAUUGACUAAUGUGAUCUUUAAGAAGCUCCCAUUCGUUCAUGCGAAAUGUAAAUAGACGUUGUUUCAAUACUAAAAGGUUAGCUAGAGACUUAUUCGCAUAAAGAGUUUCUAAUCUUUUCCACAAGGCGAAUGGGGCUUUCUCCAUCAAUACCUCCUGCAAUACCAUAUUCGCGAGACACAAUUGAAUUGCAGAUAGAGCCUUUUCAUCAAGCUCUUCUGAUUUUGUCUUAUCUAGAUUCUCAAGCUUUUUUUCCAGUAUCGACCUUUUUCAGGCCGGUAUGAACUAGAAUUGCCAUCAUUCGAACUUACCACAUAUUGAAAUUUGUGACACCAUCGAACUUCUUAAUGUCAAACCUUGUUGUUGUCAUCUUUAAACGUGUUGAUCUAUAAAAAUUGAAUUAGCUCUGAUACCACUUAUUGGGAAUUAACCUAAUUAAGCAACGAACAAGUAAAAAAUAGCGAAAAAAUUGAGAAAUUGAACACACAAAUUUAAUGUGAAAAAACCCCUCCAAAGAGGAUAAAAAACCACGAGUAAAGAUAAUUUUACUAUAAUGACAAAAAUACGAAGAGUACAAAAGAUGGAGAUAAAAAACUAAACUUUGAAACCUGAAAAUAAAAAACCCUCAAAAUGUAAACACAAAAUUCUUUAAAAGUAUUAUAAAUUCUAAUAUUUAGUGGGUGUAUUAUCUAAGGUUUUAAAAGAGUCUUUUUAUAAGUUAAAUUCGUAGGUCAAAUAACAAUAAAAUAAUUUAGACUAAUCAGAGUUCGAUUGAAACAAAUAAACAGAGUUUAACUGGGAGAUUAUCUCUUAAAUUUGAUUGAAAUAUGAGUUAUACUCAACAAAUCCAAGGAACAAUCGUCGAGUCGCGAUACAAGGAAGCCCGUGCUGCAACAUAGAACAACCAAGUGGCAAAGGCUGAAAAUUCAUUCGACAUUGUGAUGUGACGAGGAGUUUUCCCACAUCACAAUUGUAAUGCCCAAUUUAUGCUCGGGGCCCAAAACCAAACCUAGCCCACUAACAGCCCAUUACCCAAAUGCAUGCCCAAAUCAAAAACCCUACAGCAGCCCUAACCCAUUCACAACAAGAAAGCAAAAAACCUAACCUUAGGUGCGCCGCACCUAGGGUCUUCUGUCUUCUGCCACCGUCCCAUCACCCCACUUGCCACCGCCUCUGACCAGCGCCUCACCGCCACCAACUCUGCCACCACCAUUGUCACAUCAACCACUUGCACCUGCAAAGAUCAAAAUAGAAGUGAUAGUUUUUAAAAAAUAGAAAAAAAGGUAUGUUUCGACUAUAAGAAGCCAUUUCAACCGAAUGUAAAAGGGGAUUUUUUUGAAAAUAAUAAAAGAAAACGGUUCAAAAAAAGAGCAAAGAUUCAAAGGUUGUUUUCUUAUUUUUAUUUUUACUUUGUUUUUUUUCCUUGAUUUUUUUAUUUCGAAAUAUUAAAUAAAAAAAGAAAAAUGAAGUUUUUUUUUACCUUUUCGUUGUUGCCGGAGUGCUCGGGGGGCGAAGGGCUGCAUCGGAAGAAAAAAAGAGAAAUUUUUUGGACUCCCCGUCGCUGUGCACUGCGGCGCCGGUGACUGACGGCCGACGUGGUGGCGGUUGGCCGGAUUCUGGGCCGGUGGCCGGAUGGGGGGAGAGGAUAUUUUGAGAAGAAAGGAUUUUUUUUAAAAUGAAAGUUGAAAUGAAUUUUUUUGAAAAAUUUGACUUAAAUAGGCCUCCAAAACGACGCUGUUUUGGGCAGGCCUCUCAGGCACCAAAAUGACGCCGUUUUGGCUUGACCCGAUUUGACCCGACUCGAACCUCCUAGGAUCAGCGUGUUUUCUGGCGCAUGGGUUAUUUGCGGGCGCGAUCCUCCCGCUUUUGCGACGGUUUACAAUUGGGUCCUCAGUUGUUUUUUUUUCUUUUUAAUUUUGCGAUAUAAUUUUUAUUUUGUUUCACUUUGGUCCAUAUUGAAGUAGGGCAUUCCCUGGGCUGGGGAUAAUUUCCCAUCUGGUCCCCGUCUCUUUUUAGCUCGUUCAAAUUGGUCCCUUUCUUUCUUAUUUAUUUUCGAUUUGCCCCCGAAUUUUGUUUUAAAAUCCAAUUUAACCCCCCUGUUUUAUUAUUUCAGUUAUUUUAUUAUUAAUAUUAAUAAAUUUGAUAUUAUUAUGAUUAUGAUUAUUAUUAUUAUUAUCAUUAGUAUUAUUAUUAUAUUUCUAUUUCUAUUUACUUAUUUAAACUUUAAAUAUAUUUGUCUUAUUAUAUAUUGAUAUUAUUAUUUGCUUAUUUAUAUCUUUUUUAUUUCAAACUUUGUUAUAUAUAUAUAUAUACAUACAUAGAUAUUUUUAUUUUUAUUUUCAUUAUUGUUAUUAUUGUGUUAUUUGAUAUUUAUUUAUUUAUGUGUUCAUUAUUAUUUUGAAAAACGUUUUAGUCCUAUUUGUUUAUUUACUUAUUAUUUUAUGUAUAAUUGAUUUUAUCUUAUUUUUGUUGUUGUUGCUCGUAUUAUUUAUGUUUACAUCAUCGUGUUCAUUUUUGUUUUGUUACGCAUAGUAACACCGUAUUUUAUUCAUACUUUUUCAUGUUAGAUUAAUUUUAUUCAAUGCAUAAAUUAUGAUUUUUGAAUAAGCAAAAUCUCGUGUUUAGAUUCGAGAAGGUCGUACCCUAACUUACUGGGUUUCGAUUUUCACAAUAAAUCUAAAUACACAAAUCUUUUCAAACUCAAGUUUUAAACGAUCUCGAAAAUUAAGAAAAGAUCAUGUCCUAACUUAUUGGGCAUGAUCCCUUUUCUAAACCCGAGAUAAUUAAACAUCUUUUUAAAUAAGUAAAUUUUUGGCAUUCAUUUGCGCAUCGGAAAUUCAAGACAUUGUAUCCUAACUUACUGGAUAUAAUUCUCUUUCUCGAAUAACGUGAAAUAUGCCAUUUUCCCAAAAUUUUCAAGAUUUCAAUAAAGGAUCGUAUUUUAAAUCUCUUCAAAGUUUUCAAUUUUCGACACUAAGACAUUAAGUAAUCAACUAGGUACCAAUUUUGGGCGUAUCGAGGGUGCUAAUCCUUCCUCGUGCGUAACCGACUCCCGAACCCGUUUUUCUGAAUUUUGUGGACCAAAAUCGUUGUUUUAAUAAAAUCAAAUCGUUUAUUAAAGACAACCACUUUUCGAGGUGAGCCGAUCACACCUUAUCAAAAAAGAUUGGUGGCGACUCCUAUUUUCGUUUUCAUUUUUAAAAUCCAAGUCGACCCCGUUUUCACAAAAAAUGGUGUCAACAACAAUGACACAGCGAAGAAAAACCAAAAUGAAGUUGAUUCUUUGGACGACACUUUUGAGAUAUUUCCUUAUUUGGACCCCAAGCAUUUAUCAAAAUAUUGCAUUAAUUAGAAUCCAAAAAUGUAUCUAGGUUAAAUGGUCACCAAAUCACCGGUAGCAUAUAUAAGUAAGCUUAGGAUCACCUGAAUGGUGGGCAAACUUAGACAGAUAAUUUUUACUAAUCAAUUUUUUGUUUUUUUUAUUUUUAUGUUCGCUUAGUUGAAACUUAUCUAUUUCAAUGUGAAGACAUUUGCAAGCUGAGAUUUCUCCGGAAUCAUGCUUCAAUAUAUUUAUUCAUGAGCAUUCUCUUAUCUCUUCUCUUCCGUUCUUUUAUUUAUCUUUUGUUAAUCUAGUCCAUUAAUGUUUAUAUGUAUGAUAGAUUAUUGUGCUUUAUUUACAUCUUGCAUGAUUCGGUUUUAUUGGUUAAGUAGUUAUUUAUUUGAAAUUGUUUGUGUAUUCAAGAGUACUUAGUAUAUUAGGGAGUAACGCCCCUGGUAGAAUAUCUAGAUAGGUGACACCGGAAGGGUAUUCUGUUGUGUAUAACUUGUACCAAGCAGUGAGAUCGGGAGAGUAUUCGGAUACCUAGGAAGAGACCGGAAUGGUGACUUAGAUGGUAAUCCUUAGUGAAGAUGAGACAUGAAGGAUAUUCUUAACUAAGGGUGAUAAAUCACUUAAUCGAGAAUAAUUAACUAUUUAAUUAAACAAUUAGAAAUUUAAUCGAUAAUAGACUAGAGGCUCGCAUUGUUGACACUAUGAGAGGAGAGAUCUCCUCUUCCAAUCUCUUAAAAAAUCAUUUGCAGCUCCAACUUUCAAGUAAAUUGUCAUCAACCGCAAAAUCUAUUUUUAUCCAUCUCAAUAAAAAAUCUAAUAUUUUAAAAAAUUAAUUAAAAAAUACCAAAAUAUUUCAAAACAAUAAAAGAUGCUUAAAAAUUAAAAUAAAAUUCACCGAAAAAUGCAUAAAAUUUGGGCCAGUUUUACACAUGAUAUUUAUAUCAUACAUAGUUUAACUAAAUCACAUUUUAUCAAUCUUAAAUUUAGCUCAAAUAUAUCAAUGUUUAUCAAUAAAUAAUUUAAACUCAUUAUUUUUAUUUUUUAAAAAAUAAUCUUAUUUAUUUUUUAUUUCAUCAAAUUUAUAAAUAUAAACAAUUAAAUAUAUAUUUUAAUAUUUAUACUAUAACAUAGCAUUUUUAAUUUUCAAUUUAUCAUACAUCAUAUAAUAUAUAAAACAAGAAAUAGAUCACAUCUUCGGACCUUAGCCUAUGUAUUAAAUGUUUUGUGUCUAAAACAAUUUUUCGAAUUUAAUAUUUUUUUCAAAUCUUUUCAAAUUCCAGUCAGCUUCUAUACUUUUGAAAUUCAUAAAAGUUGAGGGUUUGAAUUUACAAAUUAAUUGAGACUAAAGCCUGUAAUUUAGUUGAAGCAUAAAAAUUUGAUAUUUUGUAUUUACGAGAUAUUUUGCUUAUUUGUUUUCUCUCUUCCCAAACCAACCCUCAAAACUCAGCGCCAGAGAGCUCAGACUUCGAUCAUCAAUUUUAGGGUUUUUUUCCUAUUAUUUCAUAAUCAGAUUCUUGAUUAUCCAAAAUUCUAAUCUUCAGAUCAGGUUUGUUUUCACCGCUUUUUUACUUUUUAUUUUAUUUAUAAUUGCAAUCGAUGAUUUGAUUGUGUAAAUUCUCUUUGAUGCUUGUUUUGGGUUUUAUGUUUAAUCGAAAAAAAAAGUGAAGAUUUUCGGCUCCUUUUUCUGAAACUAUUAUCACAACCCUUGUUGGUACUCUUUGGGUAUAAUAUAACUAAGCAAUCCCUGCCUUUCUUACCAGAAAAAAAAAUUAUUGAUAUAAUUUAGCAUUCCUUUUUGGUUAAAAUUCACUGUUACCCUCUUUAGGUUAGAUCAACAUAAUGGGUGCCCCUUUUGCGAAAAAUGUCUAUUUUUGUUCGUGGCUUAUGCUUGGAGCUGCAGAAAUCUAUGUAUGAAUCUAUGGUGCUUUAUCUUUGUGUAGGUUUUUGCUUGACCAAGAAUGCUAAUUUUUUAUUUUCAUGAAAUGUUUGUUUAUGCUUUGAUAGUUUGUUUUCCUUUUAGCAGAAAGUAAUUUGAUAAAAUGUUUGAUUGAGAGAUGUGAAGAGAGAUAAAACUUUAUAAUCUAGUCAAAUGAAAUCACUGAUCAACAUUUGGCCUUGCAAUGUAGGUCUUAGUUUUCUAGUUGUUGGGCUCUUUCGACCAGCUAAGUUUCAUGUCUGAUCUUGACAUCCAGAUUCCUACUGUCUUUGGUAAGCAUUUCCCUCUCAUACCAAAUUGUCUCGGUAUUGAAAAAUCUAACUAGUACCCAUUGUCGUUCUGCUAGAUCCGUUUGCUGAUGCAAAUGCUGAAGACUCUGGUGCCGGUGCCAAGGAGUAUGUGCAUAUUCGUAUUCAGCAGCGGAAUGGUAGGAAAAGCCUGACCACUGUCCAGGGGUUGAAAAAAGAAUUCAGCUAUAACAAAAUUCUUAAGGACCUCAAGAAAGAGUUUUGUUGCAAUGGCACUGUGGUCCAAGACCCUGAAUUAGGGCAGGUGUGUGUCUAACCACCUAAGAAAGUGAUCGACUUUGGCUUCCAUCUUUGCUCUCGAUUGUUAAGUUUAUUAUACUUGGGUUUUUUGUAGGUUAUUCAGCUUCAAGGCGAUCAAAGGAAGAAUGUUUCCACCUUCCUUGUUCAGGUCAUUGCCGUUACCCUUUCAUUUAGAUAUUCUUAAAACCAGCUAGAGUUUUCCAAUUUUGACAUAACUAUUUUCGUUUGGUUAGUCAUGCAUGUGCCGAGCUUCGUAUUUUCAAUUCACCGCAUGUUGAAUUCUUAUUUGCUUUUGUGAACAGGCCGGUAUUGUGAAGAAGGAUAACAUCAAAAUCCACGGCUUUUAAAGUUGCAACGGCUAAAAUUUCUUCAAGACUAUCCUAUUCUGAAACUCCUAUAUAUGUAAUGUUAUAAUAUGUUUAUAGUGGUGUGAUACUGAUAAAUGCACCCUGUGACUGUUUUUCUUGUUGUGCUUUCAACUCUUUAGCCCUAUGUGAUGCUGAAUGGCGAUGUUAGCUUUAAUUAUUUCUAUUUCUCACAUGGUUGUUGCUACCAUCAUCUUUAGUAAAAACUAUUUGACAGGUUAUUCCCUUUCACAUCGUAUUUUGCCAGUUUUUUAAGCCUUGGAUUGAAUUGGUAUCGGCAUAUGAGUAAUAGGUUCUUAAAGUUGACCAUGUACCCAAUGCUUGGUUACUGGAUAAGUUUUUGGUGCAUUUUUUUUACUUGUUUUUGCUCGAAUAACAGUUAAAAGAGGAGUAUAAGUCAAUCGUAAUGAGUUUUAUAAGAUUUUGUAAUUUAAGAAUUCCAAACUUUUGAAUCGGAUAUUGCUAGAAUUUCGUUGGAAUUUGGACACAACAUACUAGCUUUGCUUUGACUAGUGGUUGAGAUCACUCCUGAUAGUAGCGAGUCUACUUUCUUUUUUUGGUGGUUCUUGGUUUCCAUGAUGUUUUGGUGUCGUUUUUUUGGCCUUCUUUAUGGGGGCGUGCAUGCCGUCGAUGGUAAAAUUCCCCUUGGCCCCCGAACAUCUUGGUUAGGGGUGAGUAAAACUCGAUUCGAUUCGAAAAAAUCGAAAAAGGAAUUCGAAUUUCGAGUUAAUCGAAUCGAGUUAUUCGAAUCAACUUGAAUUUUUUUUUCGAAUUUCGAGUUCGAAUCGAGUUGAGUUUUCAAAUUCGAAUAAUUCGAAUAAUUCGAAUAUCAAACUAUAAUAUUUUACAUUUUUACCCCAAACUCUUGAACUUUUUUUACUUUUCCCUCAAAAUUUUUACUCUUUCCCACUUUCCCUCCAAAACUUUUACUCCCCUCCCCUCCCAACCCCCCAAUCUACUUAAAAUCUAUUUCCCACCAAAAUUUUACUCUCCCAUUCAUUUUUUCUCAAAAUUUUACUCCCAAAAACUCUCAAAACCUUUUAUUUUCUCUCAAAAUUUUUACUCCCUCCCACUUUUUCUCUAAAACUUUUAUUCUCUUACCAUCUCACCUCCCAUCUACCCCAAACCCUCCUCCCUCCAAUUUUUUUUUAAAUAUUUUUCCUCCAAAAUUUUACUUCCCCUAUUUACUUUCCCUCAAACUUUUACUCUCCAAAACUUUUUAUUUUCCCCCUAAACUUUUACUUCUCACCCUUUACCCUCAAAUAAAAAAUCAAAAUUAUCCAAAAAAUUUCACUAAACAUAAAUAGUAAUAAUUUUAUUUAUAUUUACUAUUUAUAUUAUUAAAUUAAAUUUCACAUUUUAUAUUAUUUAUAUUAUUGAAUUGUUUAGUCAUAUUGAAUAUUUAUAUUAAAAUUGAAUUAUUAAUUAUGCCAUAAAAUAUUCGUGUUAAAAUUUUAUAUUGGUAUCAAUUUCACAUUUUAUUUUUAAAAUAACUUUUAUUAAAAAAAUCAUAUUUUUACAUUUAAUAUAUUUUUUAAUUUCAAAAUACAUAGUGACAAGAAUCUGAAGAUAAUUGAAACAACUAUGCAAGCAAAGAAGCUAACCAAUAUAUAAAAAAUUAAUAAAUAAAUUAUGAGGUGAUAAAAGUUAAUAAAAAAUUUGAUUAAGGUGGGUGACAGUAGUUACAAGGACCCAAAAUUAUUUUUUAAAAUUUAACUCGAACAAAUAUAUUCGAUUCGAAUUCCAUCUCACUCGACUCGAUUCGAGAAAAUUUCAAAUAAAGUUAGGAUAAUAAAAUGAGAUUCGAAAACUCGAUUAACUCGAAACUUUUCGAUUCGAUUCAAUCGAAUGCUCACCCCUAAUCUUGGUCACUCAUUCGCUCUCCUCCUGUUGUAUUUUCUCUGAACUUUUCAGGCCUUACCGACUGUAUUGUUCUAUUCUUUAAUGGAUUGAUAUGUUAAAAUAAAUAAAUAAAUAAAUCUAUAUGUAUAGCAUUAAAAGGAGAGUCAGGCUUUGAUAAUUCGAUAGAGACAGAUAGUUCUCAGAUGUUAUCUUACCCUACCUAUUCUUGUUCGGUUAUGAUAAAGUAAAUGGGUAACAUACCAUUUGCUACUUUUGGUUGGAUACUUAAUUUAAAUAUUAAAACCAAAUUGAGGUACUUAGAUGAGAAAGAAAAAGUCAAGUAUCGAAAUUAAAUUCAAGUAUCAAAUAAUAUAUUAACCGUAAAAUAAAUAAAAACCACAAGCCAGUUUCAAUGAAAUCAAGUAGCAUAUGGCUAAGCAUAUAGGGGAGUUCCAGGGUGAGGUCCAUAAAAAGAACCAACAUAUAUAAAUUGAUGUAAAGUGAGUAAACCACUUUUUCCUGCUAUGCAAGCAUGCUGCAAUGGUGGGUCCUCCCCAUGCAUAGUUUGAUGAGUAGUACACAACAUUCCCAUCCAAGGGAAUAAAAUAA